Molecule: microRNA precursor, 96 nt
Organism: Myotis lucifugus (little brown bat)
Lineage: Eukaryota; Metazoa; Chordata; Mammalia; Chiroptera; Vespertilionidae
Gene: MIR628
Product: microRNA 628
Source: Ensembl
AUAGCUGUUGUGUCACUUCCUCAUGCUGACAUAUUUACUAGAAGGGUGAAAUUAAUAGCCUUCUAGUAAGAGUGGCAGUUGAAGGGAAGGGCUCAU